Molecule: non-coding RNA, 73 nt
Organism: Myotis lucifugus (little brown bat)
Lineage: Eukaryota; Metazoa; Chordata; Mammalia; Chiroptera; Vespertilionidae
Source: Rfam
GCCGGUGUAGCUCAGUAGAUAGAGUGUCGGCCUGCGGACCGAAGGGUCCUGGGUUCCAUUCCGGUCACAGGCU